GAUGAACGCUGGCGGCGUGCCUAAUACAUGCAAGUCGAGCGAACGGACGAGAAGCUUGCUUCUCUGAUGUUAGCGGCGGACGGGUGAGUAACACGUGGAUAACCUACCUAUAAGACUGGGAUAACUUCGGGAAACCGGAGCUAAUACCGGAUAAUAUUUUGAACCGCAUGGUUCAAAAGUGAAAGACGGUCUUGCUGUCACUUAUAGAUGGAUCCGCGCUGCAUUAGCUAGUUGGUAAGGUAACGGCUUACCAAGGCAACGAUGCAUAGCCGACCUGAGAGGGUGAUCGGCCACACUGGAACUGAGACACGGUCCAGACUCCUACGGGAGGCAGCAGUAGGGAAUCUUCCGCAAUGGGCGAAAGCCUGACGGAGCAACGCCGCGUGAGUGAUGAAGGUCUUCGGAUCGUAAAACUCUGUUAUUAGGGAAGAACAUAUGUGUAAGUAACUGUGCACAUCUUGACGGUACCUAAUCAGAAAGCCACGGCUAACUACGUGCCAGCAGCCGCGGUAAUACGUAGGUGGCAAGCGUUAUCCGGAAUUAUUGGGCGUAAAGCGCGCGUAGGCGGUUUUUUAAGUCUGAUGUGAAAGCCCACGGCUCAACCGUGGAGGGUCAUUGGAAACUGGAAAACUUGAGUGCAGAAGAGGAAAGUGGAAUUCCAUGUGUAGCGGUGAAAUGCGCAGAGAUAUGGAGGAACACCAGUGGCGAAGGCGACUUUCUGGUCUGUAACUGACGCUGAUGUGCGAAAGCGUGGGGAUCAAACAGGAUUAGAUACCCUGGUAGUCCACGCCGUAAACGAUGAGUGCUAAGUGUUAGGGGGUUUCCGCCCCUUAGUGCUGCAGCUAACGCAUUAAGCACUCCGCCUGGGGAGUACGACCGCAGGGUUGAAACUCAAAGGAAUUGACGGGGACCCGCACAAGCGGUGGAGCAUGUGGUUUAAUUCGAAGCAACGCGAAGAACCUUACCAAAUCUUGACAUCCUUUGACAACUCUAGAGAUAGAGCUUUCCCCUUCGGGGGACAAAGUGACAGGUGGUGCAUGGUUGUCGUCAGCUCGUGUCGUGAGAUGUUGGGUUAAGUCCCGCAACGAGCGCAACCCUUAAGCUUAGUUGCCAUCAUUAAGUUGGGCACUCUAAGUUGACUGCCGGUGACAAACCGGAGGAAGGUGGGGAUGACGUCAAAUCAUCAUGCCCCUUAUGAUUUGGGCUACACACGUGCUACAAUGGACAAUACAAAGGGCAGCGAAACCGCGAGGUCAAGCAAAUCCCAUAAAGUUGUUCUCAGUUCGGAUUGUAGUCUGCAACUCGACUACAUGAAGCUGGAAUCGCUAGUAAUCGUAGAUCAGCAUGCUACGGUGAAUACGUUCCCGGGUCU
This 1372-nucleotide ribosomal RNA is filed under the name uncultured bacterium. RNAcentral describes it as "bacterial SSU rRNA". It matches the Rfam family "Bacterial small subunit ribosomal RNA", at positions 28 to 1381 of the family's 1533-position model. The record is from RNAcentral.